RNAcentral lists this transfer RNA (75 nucleotides) under Halorutilus salinus. It matches the Rfam family "tRNA". Rfam says of the family: Transfer RNA (tRNA) molecules are approximately 80 nucleotides in length. RNAcentral also lists the same sequence under 1 other name. The record is from Rfam by way of RNAcentral. Lineage: Archaea; Methanobacteriati; Methanobacteriota; Halobacteria; Halorutilales; Halorutilaceae.
GGGCGCGUAGCUCAGUCCGGAGAGAGCAUCGGACUUCUAAUCCGACGGUCGAGGGUUCAAAUCCCUCCGCGCCCG